Molecule: unclassified non-coding RNA, 631 nt
Filed under: Hevea brasiliensis (rubber tree)
Lineage: Eukaryota; Viridiplantae; Streptophyta; Magnoliopsida; Malpighiales; Euphorbiaceae
Source: RNAcentral
GUUCAAUUAUGUAAUAAAUGGAGCUCUUUACCGUAAGGAUGAAAUAAAAUAAAACAAGUAACGAUAUAUGGGUGAGUUGAGAGAAAUUACAAAGUGGGAGUGGAAGACCAUCUAACACACCGUGCAGAGUCGGGACACUAUUCUGAUCAUCAUCCAUGAAGGGAUGCAGUGAUUCCCUUUUGCUCAGUCACAUUAAGUAAAUAUCAGAGCAGUUAUGGUAGCGAUAUUCGUUGCUAGCUGAUGAUGGUGGCAACUUGGGGCCUUAAAUUGAAAUUUUAAGUCAAGGCGCUGAUAUCCUUCAACAAGCAACAAAUAUCACUACCAUGACUACCAUUGAUAUCCUUAAUGUGACAUGGAUCCUUGCCUUGACACUGAGAAUAAUAACGUCUCGGCUCUGCACGCUGUUACAAACAUCGUUAUGCUCAGUGUAAGGAUGCUACUUAUCCUAAGCAACUCAUCAAUUGUCUCACCCAUACAAACAUUAAUAAUUAAUUACAAGUAAUAAUGAAACUAGGAAAAUGAAAUUUACAAAUGAGCAAUGAGGAGACCAAAAAUUGUAAACUAUACAUAUAAAAAUGAAUCACAUGGAGAUACAGAAACUAAUUUCCAUUGCCCAAUAAUAACAUGAUCU